UUUUGAGAAGAGAGCUGAGGCCGUUAAAGGCAGGUGUGAUGGAAGCAGAAAAAAAAAGAACCCAGCUCGACGAGGAACAGGAGCCACGGUGCAGAUCAGACGCAGCGAGGAAUCUAUUAUCACCAGUACCUGUGCAGAUGAUUCAGAUGAGAAACUGUCAACAUUUGUACAGCGGCUGUAAAGGAGGAAAAUAGGACAAGGACGCACCCUUUUGUGAGCCUCUCUUCUCUAUUGGAAGCUGGAAGCUCAGCAGCAGGUGCAGAGAGCCUAAGUGAAAGCUCGUCAGGACCCUGUGCGUCUCCAGUCUGAACCGAGCUCCUCCGUGAGUUUCCGUUCUGCAGCUGCGCAGUGAGGCUAGAGACCUCUGCCCUUGGAGAGCAGGUCUUGAUUUGAAUAAUUUCCCCCAAGUGCACUUGGUAUCUUAGUCGGAAUCCCCAGGAGCAGACCGUGGGAACAGAAGUUAACUAGAGACAUGACAGUUCCUGGCAGCACCCCUGUUUCCUCCAAAGAAGACGGAUGGGCACAGAAGAACCUCCACCCAGAACUGGCUUCAAAAGGGCAGCACUAGCCACUGGGCAAAACUGCCUUUCACCUCAACUGCUGCAAAGACCCCUUCAGACCCUGGACAAAACAGGACACUGGGGAAUUGAGUUGCCUAAGUAAAGGAAUCAAAGGAAAUACUCAAGGUCCUCUACCAGGAUGUAGGUCUGUGCAAAGAGAAAACAGAAGAUGGGCACUUCUGGUACCCUAGAUUACCUCUGUAUCUGUGGAGAGCUGCGCCACGCCUUAAAGAUGGUGCUGGCUUCCGCCUUCCACCAUCCCGACGGAAAAGAAAAAGCUUUGGAUUCCUUCAAAAUUAAUAAAGAUCAGCUUUGACCAGGGGAGACCGCCUGAGGAUCUCGGCUUCAGACACGAGGAAGGAAGCCAGGAAAGACUACAGGACACGUGCUGUGUAUGCUGAUCCCUUUGCAUGGGAACAUCUUUGAGACUGGAUGAGACAUGAUAAAUCUUGUUGGCUACAGAGUCCUCAUAACAGUGUGGCUAUACAGUCCAAAUGCACUUAUAAAGUUGACAGAUGCCUUUUAUCUACCCAACACAGAGCAACAACAAAAAAGAUCAUCUUUAGCUGACUUGUCCACACUGUACAUUCCAUACUUGUGUUAAUGCAGAUAUGAUGUUAGCUUUAAAAGUUUGUGUGCCUUCAGAAUAAAAGAACCACAUACCAAUAAAGACACGUAGCCCAAGUGA
Molecule: long non-coding RNA, 1248 nt
Organism: Mesocricetus auratus (golden hamster)
Lineage: Eukaryota; Metazoa; Chordata; Mammalia; Rodentia; Cricetidae
Exons: 7
Source: RefSeq, a predicted model, not a curated record